Non-coding RNA from Rattus rattus (black rat), 455 nucleotides. NCBI's taxonomy places the organism in Eukaryota, Metazoa, Chordata, Mammalia, Rodentia, Muridae. The record is from the annotation of a RefSeq genome assembly.
ACUGAUCACUCUCCUAAGUUCACUUCCUCAAAAUGAUGAGUCCUGCCCAGUUCCUGUUUCUGCUAAUGCUCUGGAUCCAGGAAACCGGCGGAGAUGUUGUGAUGACCCAGACACCAGCGUCCUUGUCGGUUGCCAUUGGACAACCAGUCUCCAUCUCUUGCAAGUCAAGUCAGAGCCUCGUAGAUAGUGAUGGAAAGACAUAUUUGCAUUGGUUAUUACAGAGUCCUGGUCAAUCUCCGAAGCGCCUAAUCUAUCAGGUGUCUAAUCUGGGCUCUGGAGUCCCUGACAGGUUCAGUGGCACUGGAUCAGAGAAAGAUUUUACACUUAAAAUCAGCAGAGUAGAGGCUGAGGAUUUGGGAGUUUAUUACUGCCUGCAAACUACACAUGUUCCUCCCACAGUGAUACAGACCCUAACAAAAACUCCCUUGCCAGGGGCAGCCCACCUGCCAAUGUGA